ACUAAAAAAGUAUCACUAACUACAUCGCACCAUUUCUCCAUACCUAACCCUAAUAGUGUCCACGAAGGGGUUAACCAGGCUUCAUUCCACGUAUAGCUGCGGCUUCCGCCUUUAAUUUUGGGUCACCGCCAGCGAAGACUCAGAGUCACGAUGUGCUUUAGACAGAGCGGUGUGUUCUGGCUUCUUAUUCCCGUCUGUCUGGCUCAGACGCUCACCGUUCUCCAGAGACCCAGAAUGCUCGUGAGACACUUAAAUACCCCAGUCCAGAUGAUCUGCACUCAAACUACAGACCACGACUGGAUGUACUGGUACCAACAAAAGGACGGCGGGGAGCUAAAGCUUAUUGCCUGCCAGAUAAAGGGUAACGACGCUUUCUACGAGCAGGGGGGCAGUGCAAAUCAUUUCACCAUGAAGAGAACCGAGGACGGGAAGACCACCAGCUUGGACGUGAAGUCGCUAACAGCUGAGGAUGAAGCCGUAUACUUCUGUGCUUCGAGUGAUGCACAUUGUUACAAAGUAACCUACAGCCUUUCCAAUAACCUCACAAGAGAGCACCGACAUACAGGUGCUGCCCGGCAACAGAGAAUCAUCUUUACCGGUUCUCCAGCGAUGCCCUGAGGAUCAUAACAAGAAUAUGAUGGCGCUAUAUAAAACAAUAAACAAUAAUAACCUGUUUAAAGACA
This is a non-coding RNA of Spea bombifrons (plains spadefoot toad), 683 nucleotides long. The record is from the annotation of a RefSeq genome assembly. Lineage: Eukaryota; Metazoa; Chordata; Amphibia; Anura; Pelobatidae.